UACGUAGGGGCAAGCGUUGUUCGGAUUACUGGCGUAAAGGCGCGUAGGCGGCCAGCACAAGUCAGUUGUGAAAUCUCCGGGCUUAACUCGGAAAGGUCAACUGAUACUGUGCGACUAGAGUGCAGAAGGGGCAACUGGAAUUCUCGGUGUAGCGGUGAAAUGCGUAGAUAUCGAGAGGAACACCUGCGGCGAAGGCGGGUGCUGGGCUGACACUGACGCUGAUGCGCGAAAGCCAGGGAGCGAACGGG
RNAcentral lists this ribosomal RNA (248 nucleotides) under uncultured bacterium. RNAcentral's name for it is "partial 16S ribosomal RNA". It matches the Rfam family "Bacterial small subunit ribosomal RNA", at positions 524 to 776 of the family's 1533-position model. The record is from RNAcentral.